This is a long non-coding RNA of Gasterosteus aculeatus aculeatus (three-spined stickleback), 715 nucleotides long. The record is from Ensembl. Lineage: Eukaryota; Metazoa; Chordata; Actinopteri; Perciformes; Gasterosteidae.
GAAACUCUGAACAACAACAAAACACAGCGUGGAGGAGACGACUGCGAGCGAGACAUUUACAAACCAACUUAUGGAUCCAGCGCGUGGAAACAUUUUGGCUUUUGCAAACACGUCGGUCGCUGUUUGUAGAAUAUGUAGAAGCCAAAUAAAAAACCACGGAAACACGACGAAUCUUUCCGGCCAUCUACUAAGGCGCCGUGGGAUGAAACAACGCCGACAGUCAGGACCUCUAGCAGCGUCACCGCUGCAGCAGCAGCAGGGGAUCUCUGGAUGUGCACUGCUAUUGCAUGAAGGGACAUUUUCUGAAGACAUCAAGGACAGGAGGGCUCCAAUUGCCACACUGUGAGGAAAAUGCUCAUUUCAGUCUGGAUCCUACGUGUGCGAGAGGCUGUGUGGCUGCGCCCUGUGUAAACACCUGGUCACCGCCACUGUGCACCGUCUGACCGCAGAACAAUGGACAGCCAGCUGGGCCAUCUUUUACUCUUCAUUGAGGUUCACCUUAAGAAUUGCAUGUGGACUCUUGUGAGUAAUUACAAGAAAGUGAGCCUUUGACCUUUGACGUAUAUUGGAAAAUAAAACGUUAAGAGUAACAUUGUCAAUAUGUGUGUAUUGAUCACAACUGUAAUUAGUACUAAAUGCACUGACAGGUGGGUGGUGUCACACAGAAAACGGAUAACAUUACUCUAAUCAUUGUUUUUGAAUUCUGUUGAGUGUG